AUGCUAAAAAUUAUUAUCCCAACAAUUAUAUUACUCCCAAUAAUGUGAUGCUCUAAGAACUCUACAAUCUGAAUUAAUACAGCUUCCACAGUUUACUUAUCUGUCUCAUCAGCCUGCUAUUCUUCAACCAAUUUAAUGAUAACUCUUCAACUUCUCAUUAACUUUUUUUUGUUCUGAUCCACUGUCAUCACCCCUUCUAAUCCUAACAGCCUGGCUACUAUCCCUUAUAAUUUUAGCAAGCCAAUAUAAUCUAUCCAAAGAAUCGUUCCCAGGAAAAAAAAUUUUAUAUAUCAGUACUAGCAGGGAUACAGAUAUUUUUAAUUAUAACAUUCACGGCCACAGAACUAAUCAUAUUUUGUAUUAUCUGUGAAGCCACACUAGCUCCCACCCUAAUUAUUAUUACUGGUUGAGGUAAUCAAGCAGAAUGCCUGAAAGCAGGCUUGUACUUCUUAUCUUAUACACUGGUAGGAUCCUUACCUUUACUUGUAGCACUUAUCUAUACACAAAAUGCCUCAGGCUCACUAAAUAUGUUAAUCACCAUAUAUACUACUCAAGAAAUAACAACUCUGGAUCUAACAACCUUCUAUGACUAGCAUGCAUCGUGGCAUUUAUGGUAAAAAUGCCUCUCUACAGACUCCACCUAUGACUUGCUAAAGCCCACAUAGAAGCCCCCAUUGCCGGCUCAAUGGUACUUGCAGCCGUAUUCCUAAAAUUAGGCAGCUACGGAAUGAUACAGGUCACUCUAAUCCUUAACCCCUUGACAGAAUUCACAGCCUACCCUUCCUUAUAAUAUCCCUAUGAGAAUAAUUAUGACAAGCUCCAUUUAUCUACGCCAAACUGAUCUAAAAUCGCUCAUUGCUUACUCCCCUGUAAACUACAUGGCGCUUGUUAUUGUGGCUGUUCUCAUUCAAACCCCUGAAGCUUUAUAGGUGCAACCACCCCUAUAAUUGCCCACGGACUAACUUUGUCCCUACUAUUCCGCCUAGCAAACUUGAACUAUGAAUGAGUUCAGAGCCAAACUAUACUACUUACUCAAGGCCUUCAGACACUACUCCCACUAAUGGCCAUGUGAUGACUUUUAGCUAGCCUCACCAACCUUGCCCUACCCCCUACCAUUAAUUUAGUAGCGGAACUCUUCAUAUCCAUAGCCUUAUUCUCUUGAUCCAAUCUCACCAUCAUUCUUAUGGGACUUAACAUGUUAAUCACAGCCCUCUACUUUCUGUACAUACUAAUCACCACACAAUGAGGGGUCUUCACGUAUCACAUCAACAAUAUUAAACCCUCUUUCAUUGUGAGAAAAAUACCCUAAUAUUAAUACACCUAGCACUGCUUCUCCUAUUAUCCUUAAACCCCCAAAUCAUUUGGGG
RNAcentral lists this long non-coding RNA (1367 nucleotides) under Homo sapiens (human). Its description in RNAcentral is "non-protein coding LINC00882:22". The record is from RNAcentral. Lineage: Eukaryota; Metazoa; Chordata; Mammalia; Primates; Hominidae.